GAUUAUCGAAGGAAAGCCUUAAUUCAUAAUC
This is a regulatory RNA element of Fluviicola taffensis DSM 16823, 31 nucleotides long. It matches the Rfam family "S4-Flavobacteria ribosomal protein leader". NCBI's taxonomy places the organism in Bacteria, Pseudomonadati, Bacteroidota, Flavobacteriia, Flavobacteriales, Crocinitomicaceae. The record is from Rfam.